AUCUGAUUCACCACACCAAAGCCAAUAAGAAAAAUGUUAGACAAAAGAAAUACACAAGGGCAGAGAGGAUGGGGUUGGGGUGUAACCGUGUAGGUGGUGGAAGUAAUCGAAAGGAUAUGGAUCAUCAGUUACUUUCUACUAUAUACCUUAUGGCAAACUUUUGGAUGCCUCGCUGGGUCUAAAUGAUGGUCAUCGUCAUCGUUCAGCACUUGAAGCCUUGAAAGGAUCAAAAGUUUGUAUGAAAAAAGGAAGAUAAACAGGCACAUAAAGCAUAUUUAAACAGAUAAAUAAAACUAUAUAGAUACGUUGGAGCAAUCAGUGGACUUUUUUUUAUGAUGAAAUUCGGUGCAUAAAAAGUUAAAGUAGGGCACUACUAUAAUGCUGGACAUUGAUUGAAUAUGUUUGGGACCCUCUCAGUGUCUUUGUAUUUGGCCCUUUUAUUUUACACAUAUGAGAAGUGCUCUGUUCUGCCAAGGCUGGCAUAUAUGGAACUCAAGAUUUAUGGGUCAACAAAGCUCUUAUUGAUUGUACUUGCUACUUGGCUUGUAAUAUUGGUCAUUGUUAAACAAUAAAAUAAUAAUCAUACUAAUACUUGUCACAAAUAAA
Cicer arietinum (chickpea) is the source of this 606-nucleotide non-coding RNA. The record is from RefSeq and is a predicted model, not a curated record. NCBI's taxonomy places the organism in Eukaryota, Viridiplantae, Streptophyta, Magnoliopsida, Fabales, Fabaceae.